GCUGUCACGACCCGUGCCGCCGAGACCGGCCCACCUGCUGCUGAGACCCAGGUAAGACUCUCUACCCCGACUUGUACCUUAGACCAGGCACCUUUAGGCUGGGAUACCCCAGAGAUGUACGGGAAGGAAACCAGGGAAGACCCGACGCUAGCGAAGUACAUGGCCAGGGCCGAUUCUGGGGGAGAAGGAGUAGAUGGGGAGCACUACGAGUGGGUGGGGGAUAGACUAUAAAGGAUCCCGAAACCGCCCCAAAAACCGAG
Non-coding RNA from Pelobates cultripes (western spadefoot toad), 260 nucleotides. Lineage: Eukaryota; Metazoa; Chordata; Amphibia; Anura; Pelobatidae. The record is from the annotation of a GenBank genome assembly.